CCGCAUCCCGCACUAGCCACCACCCAAACCCUAGCCCUGUUUCCCCUCGAUCCCCAUAGCCUCGCCCGCCUCCUCCAUCCCUCCUCCUCGCCUCGCCACGGCCUCCACCCCGGAGCCUCGCCGCCGCCUGCGAUUCCUCCCUCCUGCCCGCAGAGCCCAUUGGGCUCGCCAACCCUAGCCCCAAUCCACAUCCCCCACGCCCCUCACUGGUCCCUCCUCCUCCUUCCCUCGUCCGCCGCCUCGCUCCCUCGGUCUCCUCCCUCGUUGCCGUGGCCUUCGGUCUAGGAGCCCUGCCGCCUACUGCUCCUCCUCACCACCUCGCCUCUUUCUCCUCCUCGCCUUCCCAUCGCUCGCGCGCAGGUCACCACCGUCGGAGAACAUGGGAGUGCGGGUCUUCAAGUUGGGGUGGUCAGGAGGGCUUCCCAACCUGACGUCGCCUCCUCCUCCUCGCAGCGUCGUCGCGCGUGCACCUUCUUCUCCUCCCUCCUUCCUCCCUCGUCACUACUUCCACCAGUCCCCUCCCUUCCUCGUCUGUGGCCGCUGCUGACCCAUCCUCCGGCCUCCGCGUCUCCGCCCAGGCGGCAAGGCCCCCAGCCCCCCUCGGGCCUCGGCCCCUCCGUACAGCCCGCUUCUGCCUCGUCCAACUCGCUACUUAGCUCCCAAGGCUCGGAGGGCAGCGGACGCGGCAGGCUCGGCAGGCAGCGGGCGCGAUGGUCAAGGCCAGGGGCGCGGAUUGGGGAGAUGCGCACACGAGGAGCGACGGCGACCGCGUCUGCCGCCAACAUCGAGAUUAGCUCUUCGUUCUUUCAAGCCCUAUGUUGCUUACUCAAAUGUUUGUGGCAAUUGUAUCCUUGUACCAUGAAUAUUUGUACUUAGCAGAUCAAUAUAAACAUAUUGGCUAUCUAUUUACCAAUUCAGAAUUUAAAGCACUUUAUUUUAUGGCCUUGAGUAAAAGUUCAGUCGUUGUUGGCUGGAAGACAUCUUCAAUACGCCGUCAACACGAGCUUCCCAAGGUAAUGAUCUAAGAGGAAGUGAGUUGGAUAUGAGAUGGGGACAGAAGAUCCUGCAACGAUGUUGUUUCUUUGUUCUCCUGCUCAAGCUCAGGUGGAUGAGCCCCGUCCUGUGUUAUUCCCCUUGGUUUCUGAAGCUCCCAGGAUUUAAUAAUGAGUUGUCUUGGGCUUCAUUGGACAAAUGAUCUACCUCGAGCAAUGAUACAGGUUGGCGUUGAAGCCUGAUGGCGUUUUUCUUGCAGCAAAUAUUGGCGGGAAGACUCUAAAGUGAUAAUCUUAAAUUUGCCAUUUACCGACAUUUUCCAGUUUCUUGUUUGACUUGCCUUUUCUUGGAUGCGAUGAUAAGGGAACUAAGAAUUGCGUGCACUAUUGCUCAAAUCGAACGUAAGGGAGGCAUCAGUCCUCGAAUGUUGCCUUUAGAACAAGUAUGAUUCCUUUAUAAUAUGAGAUUUUGCCCUUCCAGGAGUUGAUGUAGAUCGAUAUACAGUCAAGUACAAUACUGGCGUGUAUAAAAAAACUUGAUUUUUCCUGGGAUUGAACUUUGAACUAAUAAAUCUAGACUAUGGAGGUAAUGUGCUUUGCAUUAUUAUAGAUCGUAUAUGCUGCUCUUACUUAAUUAUACUUUCUAAUUACAUGCUGCCCCUGUUUCUUUUGCUGUGCUAAAAAUGGGUGCUUACUUUCAAUCUAAUCGCAUCAAUAGACUUGCGGGCGUAUAGUAUUUCUGUAAUCUCUAUGCCUUACCGGUUUUGUGAUUUCAGCUCAGGUGGAUGAGCCCCGUCCCGUGUUAUUCCCCUUGGUUUCUGAAGCUCCCAGGAUUUAAUAAUGAGGCAUCAGUCCUCGAAUGUUGCCUUUAGAACAAGUAUGAUUCCUUUAUAAUAUGAGAUUUUGCCCUUCCAGGAGUUGAUGUAGAUCGAUAUACAGUCAAGUACAAUACUGGCGUGUAUAAAAAAACUUGAAUUUUCCUGGGAUUGAACUUUGAACUAAUAAAUCUAGACUAUGGAGGUAAUGUGCUUUGCAUUAUUAUAGAUCGUAUAUGCUGCUCUUACUUAAUUAUACUUUCUAAUUACAUGCUGCCCCUGUUUCUUUUGCUGUGCUAAAAAUGGGUGCUUACUUUCAAUCUAAUCGCAUCAAUAGACUUGCGGGCGUAUAGUAUUUCUGUAAUCUCUAUGCCUUACCGGUUUUGUGAUUUCAGCUCAGGUGGAUGAGCCCCGUCCCGUGUUAUUCCCCUUGGUUUCUGAAGCUCCCAGGAUUUAAUAAUGAGGUGUCUUGGGCUUCAUUGGACAGAUGAUCUACCUCGAGCAAUGAUACAGUGUAGGUUGGCGUUGAAGCCUGAUGGCGUUUUUCUUGCAGCAAAUCUUGGCAAGAAGACUCUGAAGUGAUAAUCUUAAAUUUGCCAUUUACCGACAUUUUCCAGUUUCUUGUUUGACUUGCCUUUUCUUGGAUGCGAUGAUAAGGGAACUAAGAAUUGCGUGCACUAUUGCUCAAAUGGAACAUAAGGGAGGUAUCAGUCCUCAAAUGUUGCCUCUAGAACAAAAGUAACGCUCAAAAGCCUGAAUAGAAUUCCUUGGGAAAGGGUAGAUGUUAGCUUCAAGAGAAGUAGACAAUGGAUUUUUGCCCACAGCACCAUUCAGCCCUACUGCUCCUGAGCCCAAAUCCCAUGACCAUGCCCCCACCUCUCCUUUGUUAAAUGAAGGGAGUCUGGUUGCUAAAAAGUGAGUUUUCUUAAUCAGUAUGUAUGGCCCCUCUGCACAUGCUGUUUCUUCGUAUUUAUGAGGCCCUCAAGCUUUGUCAGUUUUCUGAUGGAUAUGGAAUUUUAAUUUCAUAGUCCCAACAACGGUGGAUACUGAUCGAGCUAUCUAUUAUUUAUUGUCAAUCUGUAAUACUUUUGUCAGCUUCUAGCAUGUCGUUGCUCUGCCAGAGUGCAAUUUUCUCUGCAUGGCAUACACCAGUUACCAUUAGUUGAUAUGUUUGUUGAAGUUUUAUUGCAAGUUAAAUAAAUGUGUAGUGUGGCAUACUGAUUAUUAUAGUUUGAUAAUGUCAGGCGCCGAUGGCUUUAGAUAUGUAAAUAAAAUAUGGUGAUUGUCACCGGCAUGUAGUGUGGCAUACUAAUCAAAUGACUAAGCAUUUAAUUAUUGUUCUGUUAUGUUAUUGAUUUCACCGGCUUUAUGUCGGCCGAUUAGUUCUGAAGGAUUCCACAUCGGCUAAUUUAGAUUAUGUUACUAGAGUAUUAGAAGAAGUUCCUGAUAUAUGUAUUUAGAGCAUUUGCUGAGAUUUGAUGCAAAAUAUUGAUGACCAGGCAUUAUACUGCGCAUAAGCACAAUUUUUAGUUUUUCUUUUUAUUGUUGCAGCAGCUUUUCUAUAGCAAUAGCCAAAUAGUGUGACAUAACACUAUUCCAUUUUCACAGGCCAUAACACAUCUUUACAUGUAAGUUUGUUCUCUAGAUAGUUCUCUUUCCAAGAUUUUCAUAUCAUAUUUGUUGUGGGAUCUGACUGCUUUACCAUAUUUUCCUGGUGUGGACGAUGUUAUAGAGUGAGCUACCAUCACUUCUCAUUACUGACUGUAAUCAAUAUAUAUAUAGAUGUGUUUAUGCCAUAAAAGAUGGAUAUUUGUCGAAGCCAUUGUCGUGUCAUGUAAUUACCUGGAGAUCAGCUAUAUAGUUUUGUUCGGAUUGUAAAGUGGAAACUACAACUCCCAUGUGAUUGUCAUUUGAUUAUUUACUUCCUCAAGUAGUAUGGAUAUGGUGCUGCCAGGAUAUUAAGUAUAUUCAUGAAUUUGUAUAAACCACGUUCUACGAUUCACUUCUGUUAUGCAUAUUUACUUUCCAGUUUUAGGACUGAAAGCCAUCCAUUGUAAUGAACUUGGUUGUAUGGGCAUUACCUAUUUGACUUAGGCUUGCUUCAUCA
Long non-coding RNA from Triticum aestivum (bread wheat), 3914 nucleotides. RefSeq lists it as uncharacterized. The transcript has 8 exons. The record is from RefSeq and is a predicted model, not a curated record. NCBI's taxonomy places the organism in Eukaryota, Viridiplantae, Streptophyta, Magnoliopsida, Poales, Poaceae.